UACAGAGGUCCCAAGCGUUGUUCGGAUUCACUGGGCGUAAAGGGUGCGCAGGUGGGCUGAUAAGUUCGAUGUGAAAGCCCCGGGCUUAACCCGGGAAUGGCAUUGGAAACUGUUGGUCUGGAGGGUUGGAGGGGGGACUGGAAUUCUUGGUGUAGCAGUGAAAUGCGUAGAUAUCAAGAGGAACACCAGUGGCGAAGGCGAGUCCCUGGACAAACCCUGACACUGAGGCACGAAAGCCAAGGGAGCAAACAGGAUUAGAUACCCCCGUAGUCC
This 273-nucleotide ribosomal RNA is filed under the name uncultured bacterium. RNAcentral describes it as "partial 16S ribosomal RNA". It matches the Rfam family "Bacterial small subunit ribosomal RNA", at positions 524 to 796 of the family's 1533-position model. The record is from RNAcentral.